This 253-nucleotide ribosomal RNA is filed under the name uncultured bacterium. RNAcentral describes it as "partial 16S ribosomal RNA". It matches the Rfam family "Bacterial small subunit ribosomal RNA", at positions 524 to 776 of the family's 1533-position model. The record is from RNAcentral.
UACGUAGGUGGCAAGCGUUGUCCGGAUUUACUGGGCGUAAAGAGCGCGCAGGCGGUCGGCCAAGUCGAGUGUGAAAGCCCCCGGCUCAACUGGGGAGGGUCAUUCGAUACUGAUCGACUCGAAGGCAGGAGAGGGAAGUGGAAUUCCCGGUGUAGUGGUGAAAUGCGUAGAUAUCGGGAGGAACACCAGUGGCGAAGGCGACUUCCUGGCCUGUUCUUGACGCUGAGGCGCGAAAGCUAGGGGAGCAAACGGG